RNAcentral lists this ribosomal RNA (279 nucleotides) under Lumbrineris sp. MB-2016. RNAcentral describes it as "partial 16S ribosomal RNA". It matches the Rfam family "Bacterial large subunit ribosomal RNA", at positions 1947 to 2464 of the family's 2925-position model. The record is from RNAcentral. Lineage: Eukaryota; Metazoa; Annelida; Polychaeta; Eunicida; Lumbrineridae.
CGUGCAAAGGUAGCAUAAUAAUUUGCCUCCUAAUUAGAGGCUGGCAUGAAUGGAUUUACGAAAGUAUAGCUGUCUCCUACUAAAAUAUAAAAACUAAACUUCAAGUGAAGAUGCCUGAAUUUUACUAAAGGACAAAAAGACCCUGUUGAGCUUCACCUACAAUAAAUAUCACAAUUUACUAAGGUUUAGUUGGGGCGACUAAGGAAGAAAUAAAGCUUCCUCAAUAAAUAGACUAAUAUGUCCUAUAAAUGAUCCGCUAAAGCAAUCUAAAGAAAAGCU